Molecule: ribosomal RNA, 499 nt
Filed under: uncultured Glomeromycotina
Lineage: Eukaryota; Fungi; Glomeromycota
Description: partial small subunit ribosomal RNA
Rfam family: Eukaryotic small subunit ribosomal RNA
Source: RNAcentral
CCAAUAGCGUAUAUUAAAGUUGCUGCAGUUAAAAAGCUCGUAGUUGAAUUUCGGGACUAAUAUGUUGGUCGUGCCUCGGUACGUACUGAUAUUUUUGGUUUCUCCCUUCUGACGAACCUUGAUGUCAUUAAUUUGGUGUCUUGGGAAAUCAGGACUGUUACUUUGAAAAAAUUAGAGUGUUUAAAGCAGGCUCACGCUUGAAUACAUUAGCAUGGAAUAAUGAAAUAGGACGUUUGAUUCUAUUUUGUUGGUUUCUAGGAUCGACGUAAUGAUUAAUAGGGAUAGUUGGGGUCAUUAGUAUUCAAUUGUCAGAGGUGAAAUUCUUGGAUUUAUUGAAGACUAACUACUGCGAAAGCAUUUGCCAAGGAUGUUUUCAUUAAUCAAGAACGAAAGUUAGGGGAUCGAAGACGAUCAGAUACCGUCGUAGUCUUAACCAUAAACUAUGCCGACUAGGGAUCGGAUGAUGUUAAUUUUUUAAUGACUCAUUCGGCGCCUUACG